Molecule: ribosomal RNA, 547 nt
Filed under: Alternaria alternata
Lineage: Eukaryota; Fungi; Ascomycota; Dothideomycetes; Pleosporales; Pleosporaceae
Description: eukaryotic LSU rRNA
Rfam family: 5.8S ribosomal RNA (bases 187-340)
Source: RNAcentral
AACCUGCGGAGGGAUCAUUACACAAAUAUGAAGGCGGGCUGGAAUCUCUCGGGGUUACAGCCUUGCUGAAUUAUUCACCCUUGUCUUUUGCGUACUUCUUGUUUCCUUGGUGGGUUCGCCCACCACUAGGACAAACAUAAACCUUUUGUGAAUUGCAAUCAGCGUCAGUAACAAAUUAAUAAUUACAACUUUCAACAACGGAUCUCUUGGUUCUGGCAUCGAUGAAGAACGCAGCGAAAUGCGAUAAGUAGUGUGAAUUGCAGAAUUCAGUGAAUCAUCGAAUCUUUGAACGCACAUUGCGCCCUUUGGUAUUCCAAAGGGCAUGCCUGUUCGAGCGUCAUUUGUACCCUCAAGCUUUGCUUGGUGUUGGGCGUCUUGUCUCUAGCUUUGCUGGAGACUCGCCUUAAAGUAAUUGGCAGCCGGCCUACUGGUUUCGGAGCGCAGCACAAGUCGCACUCUCUAUCAGCAAAGGUCUAGCAUCCAUUAAGCCUUUUUUCAACUUUUGACCUCGGAUCAGGUAGGGAUACCCGCUGAACUUAAGCAUAUC